UUCAUAUGUUUUUGUUUUGUUUACAAAUUAUGUUUUUCAUUUCCUAACGCUUUUUAAUCUUCUUUCUCCGUCAGAUGUUCAUCGCAACAACUCAAAUUUGCUUACGAUAUGCGAUUAUUUUCUCAUCACAAGUUCAUUGUUUUUCUCCGUAUAUUUUUUUCAUAGUUUAAGUGAAAUUUUCUCUGUUCCUGAAACCUAAAUCUCCAAUCAGAGUGAAGACCAUUUUCGUCGAGAUUCGAAACCUAAAAAUCUAUUACUAUUGGCACCGCGUUGGAGUUCACCGACGAAGGCAGAGGGAGCGACAAGGGAAGCGUGGAGAUGUCGAGGUCAAAUGCAUCGAAGAGGAGCAAGUCGUCGAAGUUCACGACAAGGCAAAACAACUUGUCUAAGUGGGAGCGGUUGUGGCAGGACCUACUCUACGGCAUCUAGUCAAGGUCUACCAUCACCGACGACUCUCUGAUGAACUUCAGGUCCAUCGAAGUAACAAUAAGAAUCCAAUUUCUUUUUUUCCCUUCUUUACGAGCUCAUACAUUUUCAUCUGAAAUCUGGAUGCAUAGGAAUGCUUUUUCAUCGGUUUUGUUUGUUUAACUUGAUGAUUAUGUAUGUAUAUAGUACUUCUUGAUUAGUGUUUGAUUAUAAAAUUGUGUAAGAAGAUGGUUUUGAGCCUUGACAAAGGAAGGAAGACAACAAAGAACUAAGAGAUUGAUUAGAAAGCUUGUAAAGUUCCAUUAUCUUAAUCAAUUAUAUUCAGAUGAGAAUUUUAAUAUCAUUAUCUUAAUCCAUUUUACAGUCUUAAUGUAUUAUUUUCUAUAGAGAAUGUAAUAUUCAAUUAGAGUAAAUAUGGCUUUGCUUAAAUUUAAUAGUUGUUUAAUUAUAAUGUUAUAUAGUCUAUUAUACAUUACCAUUCCAUCAUAGAUCAUCAUUGAAUUAAUAUCUAACACAAAUAUUGUAAAAGUGAACAAAGUUGGUGCAUAUUGUGGUUUGUGAUUAGAUCGAUGACACUGUAUAGCUUAUUUUUUUCUUAAUGUUCAUCAUGCAGUAUAGUUUUAUGAUGGUUAACAUUAGUUCUUCUGCUAAAUGCAUGCCUGCUAUAUUUGAGUUUGGUGAAUAACUAUAAUGACUUUGGAGGAAAGAAACAAUAUUUGAGUAGGCACAAAGUGACUAAUUUAUUUGAAUCAUGUAGAUGCCUUGAUGAGUUGAGGUUGUACUAAAGAAUUAAUAUACUUAAGUUGAAAUUUCAUAGGCUUUAGAUUGUUACCAUCCCACAAGAGUUCUUUCUCCAAGUCUUUUAUCUAUAGGUCUCAUUCCUAUUAUUAGUUGUAGUAGAACCGCCCCAAAGGAAUACACAUAUGUUUUAACUGACACUUUGCCAAAUUCUGCAUAUUUUGGUGUCAUCUCGACCCACUAUAGUUUUAAGAUAUUGGAACCAACCACCUGGGGUUAAAAAGAGAUUGAGCAUUUUAUAUAUCUCCUUUAUUUUACUUUUCUUCAUUUGGCAAAGGGAUGAUUAUGCUCUUUCUAUUUUUGUUAAUAUUUGGUAUUAAGUAAGCUUCCGUUGCCAUUGAAUCAAUUUGACAGAUUCCUGUUACAUCUACUCAUAGUUAGGAUAAUUUCUUUCAAUGGUUUGAAGGGAAUCAGUUUUUCACAUCUAGUAAAUUUUGUAUUAGCAUAUUUUAGUAUGAAAUGUUGUUUCAUGCAGGUUAACAAUGCAGGAAUUGGUGGAGUUGUAAUUAAAGACAGUGAUUUAAUCAGUAUAGUAAUCCUGAAUCGUGGGAUGAGCAAGGAACAAAGACAGUGACUCAAACAUACGAGUUAGCUAAAGAAUGCUUGCAAAUAAAUUACUAUGGCACUAAAAUAACUGUAGAAUCACUCAUGCCCCUCCUCCAAUUAUCUGAUUCACCAACAAUUGUGAAUCUAUCGUCCUUUCUUGGGCAGUUAGAGAGUUUCCCUAAGGAAUCGUGGGCAAGAGGAGUGUUGAGUGAUGCUGAUAACCUAACAGAAGAGAAAGUGGAUGAAAUAGUGAAGAUGUUUCUAAGUGAUUUCAAAGAAGGUUCAUUAGAGAGUAAAGGGUGGCCUAGGUAUCUAGGUGCCUAUAUUGUGUCAAAAACAGCUCUUUGCUAAACAACCUGGUGGGACACAUCUGGCAUUCCUCAGUUCUUGUUCCAUAUCAUGGAUGGGUUGGGGGACAUAAGUUAUUGUGGAGGUUGCAACAUCAGGUUAGGAAAUAUGUACUCGGCUUUUCCAGCUGGUGACUGGGCAUGUAUGGAAGGGAACAACUUUUGGUGGCUUCAAGAGUCAAUCACAAGUUCCUUGGCUUGUAGAAAAGUACAUGAAGAAGGUGGUUUGUUGUGUUUCUGCGAUGAGAAGGUUUUCUACAACUAAUGAGGGAUGUGUUGUUGAAGCUAGAAUGAUGACUCAUGGAAAAAAGUUCUUAAUCCUGAACUUGUUAAAGGACAUUGGACAAAGGAGGAGGAUGAUAAAAUAAUUGAACUGGUGUCUAUACAUGGAUCUACAAAAUGGUCUUUGAUAUCCCAGUCUUUGCCUGGUCGAAUAGAAAAACAAUGCAGAGAACAAUGGUGCAAUCAUCUUAGUCCAGACAUAAAGAAGGAUCCCUGGAUUUUAGAGGAGGAAUUAGCUCUUAUUAAAGCUCAUUGUAUACAUGGCAACAAAUGGGCUGAAAUAGCCAAGGUUCUAUGUGGAAGCAAACCGGUGAUGCAAAUGAGCCUGAGUCUUCUAUGGGUACAAGAGGAUCAUCUGGUGGUAGCAACAUUUAGGGUGUUGAUGAUGUUUUUUAGGAUGAAACUAUUUUAGUGUAUUAUGAACUUUGAGUAAGUAUGGAUUAAGUUGUAAUUGUUUUUAUGUUAAUAUGUUGAUUUUGAGAAUCAAAAGUUCUAAUGAUAUAUAUUUGAGCAC
Vigna unguiculata (cowpea) is the source of this 2913-nucleotide long non-coding RNA. The record is from RefSeq and is a predicted model, not a curated record. Lineage: Eukaryota; Viridiplantae; Streptophyta; Magnoliopsida; Fabales; Fabaceae.